This 64-nucleotide transfer RNA is filed under the name Scirtothrips dorsalis. RNAcentral describes it as "tRNA-Leu". The record is from RNAcentral. Lineage: Eukaryota; Metazoa; Arthropoda; Insecta; Thysanoptera; Thripidae.
AGUUCUUUGACAGAAAAAUGUGUUAAGUUUAGAACUUAAAAAUAAGAUUAAAUCUUAAGAACUA